GUUCAUCAUAACACAACCAAAAGUGGCGCCAUUGGCGACCACCACGCGCUCUGGCUGCACAAUAAUGGUCUUGCCCUUCUUGAGCUGCAGUGAGUACCCGACAGUGCUGGUGUCAUUGAAGAUGGGACCAGCAAAGAGGUAGGCAUCAGCCGACUCGACUAUCUCAGCACAGAAUGCAGUACCGACAGCGCCCCAGUAGGUGCCAAUGAAGUGAGGAUGUUGCUCUGACACCAUCCCCUUGGCUGACGGCAUUACAGCUACAGGAUAGCCACAAGCAUCGGCUAGCUCGACAAAGGCCUUUCCAGCCUUGGCGACACGGAUCUUAGGGCCGGCUACAAGAACUGGCUUGACGGCCUUGUUCAAGAACUCCACAGUUGCCUCAACAGCAGCUUCCAGGCCUUGUUGGCUCGAUAUUUUAGGGGAUGGACAAAAGGGGACGGGCUCGCGGCUGAAGAAGGAAUGUGACACACCAGGGAGAUUGCAUCCGAUGCAGAUGUAGACGGGCUUGCUCUCCCUGAGAGCUGUUGAGAUGGCAGUGUCGAUCUGUUCGUGAGCGUCCUCAAGAUUGUUCACAACAGUCUGAAAGCACGUAACCGGCUGAAAACACCGCAGCUCCUGCGACAAAUCCGACAGCCCGAUCGUAUGAUGCAGUAUCCGAUUCUUCCCAUAAUCAUUCGUAUUCGGCCCUCCCACGAUGCAAAUCACCGCCAAAUUCUCACUAUACGCCCCCGCGAUCGCAUUGAGGAUACUUAGACCGCCGACGGUGAAAGUGACGACGCACGCUCCGACGCCGCGAUAUCGGGCGUAGCCAUCGGCAGCGUAUCCGGCAUUGAGCUCGUUGCAGCAGCCGACGAGGUUGAGACCGGGCUCGGCGAGGAGGUAAUCGAGGAGAGUGAGGUUGAAGUCGCCGGGGACGGAGAAGACGUCAGAGACGCCGACUUCGACUAGGCGGCGCGCGAGGUGGCGGCCGAGGGUGGCUUCGAUGGGGACGGCGGGGGUAGAGGGACUCCCGACGACUCCUUUGGCGGGUUUGGGAGCGCCCUCGACGAAUCCUGUCUGAGUUUCCA
RNAcentral lists this unclassified non-coding RNA (1067 nucleotides) under Hevea brasiliensis (rubber tree). Lineage: Eukaryota; Viridiplantae; Streptophyta; Magnoliopsida; Malpighiales; Euphorbiaceae. The record is from RNAcentral.